UACGGAGGGGGCUAGCGUUAUUCGGAAUUACUGGGCGUAAAGAGCAUGUAGGCGGUUUAGUAAGUUAGAAGUGAAAUCCCAAGGCUCAACCUUGGAACUGCUUCUAAAACUGCUAAACUAGAGUUCGGUAGGGGAUGAUGGAAUUCCUAGUGUAGAGGUGAAAUUCUUAGAUAUUAGGAAGAACACCGGUGGCGAAGGCGAUCAUCUGGGCCGAUACUGACGCUGAGAUGCGAAAGCGUGGGGAGCAAACAGG
This 253-nucleotide unclassified non-coding RNA is filed under the name uncultured Rickettsiales bacterium. Its description in RNAcentral is "contains 16S-23S intergenic spacer region". It matches the Rfam family "Bacterial small subunit ribosomal RNA", at positions 524 to 776 of the family's 1533-position model. Lineage: Bacteria; Pseudomonadati; Pseudomonadota; Alphaproteobacteria; Rickettsiales. The record is from RNAcentral.